CCAAUAGCGUAUAUUAAAGUUGCUGCGGUUAAAAAGCUCGUAGUUGAAUUUCGGAAUUGAUGCAUCGGUCGUGCCUUAAGGGGCAUGAACUGGUGUAGCCAAUUUCUCACCUUCUGGUGAAUUGUUGAUGUUCUUAAUGGGUGUCUCAAUGAACUAGAAUUUUUUACUUUGAAAAAAUUAGAGUGUUUAAAGCAGGCAUUGAUUUGCUUGAAUACAUUAGCAUGGAAUAAUGAAAUAGGACAGUGGUUCCGUUUUGUUGGUUUCUAGGAUCACGUAAUGAUUAAUAGGGACAGUUGGGGGCAUUAGUAUUCAAUUGUCAGAGGUGAAAUUCUUGGAUUUAUUGAAGACUAACUAUUGCGAAAGCAUUUGCCAAGGAUGUUUUCAUUAAUCAAGAACGAAAGUUAGGGGAUCAAAGACGAUUAAGUACGUCGUAGUCCUAACCAUAAACUAUACCAACUAGGAAUCAGACGAUGUUAAUUUUUUAAUGACUCGUUUGGUACCUUACG
This 506-nucleotide non-coding RNA is filed under the name uncultured Glomeromycotina. RNAcentral describes it as "SSU rRNA". It matches the Rfam family "Eukaryotic small subunit ribosomal RNA", at positions 591 to 1092 of the family's 1831-position model. Lineage: Eukaryota; Fungi; Glomeromycota. RNAcentral also lists the same sequence under 1 other name. The record is from RNAcentral.